GAUCCUGGCUCAGGAUGAACGCUGGCGGCGUGCUUAACACAUGCAAGUCGAACGGGAAACCUAUUAUUGAAACUUCGGUCGAUUUAAUUUGUUUCUAGUGGCGGACGGGUGAGUAACGCGUGGGUAACCUGCCCUAUACAGGGGGAUAACAACCAGAAAUGGUUGCUAAUACCGCAUAAGCGCACAGGACCGCAUGGUCCGGUGUGAAAAACUCCGGUGGUAUAGGAUGGACCCGCGUUGGAUUAGCUAGUUGGCAGGGUAACGG
Molecule: ribosomal RNA, 265 nt
Filed under: uncultured bacterium
Lineage: Bacteria
Description: partial 16S ribosomal RNA
Rfam family: Bacterial small subunit ribosomal RNA
Source: RNAcentral